CUGGAGGUAAACUAUACUUUUGCUCAGGCCUACUCAGACAUGACAUUGCAGCAUAGCAGUUAUAUCUUCUCAUCUAACUCCAGGUGGCAGUGUUAAACAACCAUGACAGGCUGCUCCAGCAGAGUUGAGACAGCAGAGCAGACCCACAUGUCAAGAGUGAGGUCACAGAUUGAUGGGACCCUUUCAUAAAGUGAAUCACUGGGAAAAUUACACAUACCUUACAUGUUUUUCUGACACACUUAUAUUUGUGUAAUCACUGCUUAUUGGUUGCUGUUAAUUAGAGAAAAGGAUGAGCAAAAUGUUGUGUAUUCAUCACAUUUUUAAGUUAUCAUAUGUUGCUAGUUGUUCUUACACUGAAGGAUUAUGAUACAAGUCGUUUACAAAUAAAAAUAUUCCGAAUGAUCAAA
This is a long non-coding RNA of Micropterus salmoides (largemouth bass), 407 nucleotides long. RefSeq lists it as uncharacterized. The record is from RefSeq and is a predicted model, not a curated record. Lineage: Eukaryota; Metazoa; Chordata; Actinopteri; Centrarchiformes; Centrarchidae. The transcript is spliced from 2 exons.